UUACCAGUGUUUGACAUGGUAGGACGGCUUCCAGAGAUGGAUUCCUUCCCUUCGGGGACCUACACACAGGUGCUCCAUGGCUGUCGUCAGUUCGUGUGGUGAGAUGUUGGGUUAAUUCCGCCAACGAGCCCAACCCUCGCCUUAAGUUACCAUCAUUUAGUUGGCUACUUUAAAGGAACCCCCGGUGAUAAGCCGGAGGAAGGUGGGGAUGACUUCAAGUCCUCAUGGCCCUUACGCGAUGGGCUACACACGUGCUACAAUGGCAAUUACAGUGGGCAGCAAUCCCGCGAGGGUGAGCUAAUCUCCAAAAGCUGUCUCAGUUCGGAUUGUUCUCUGCAACUCGAGAGCAUGAAGGCGGAAUCGCUAGUAAUCGCGGAUCAGCAUGCCGCGGUGAAUACGUUCCCUGGCCUUGUACACACCGCCCGUCACACCAUGGGAGUUGGUUUUUUUUGAAGGCGUCUUCGCUAAGUACUUAAGGAAGGCCAAGGC
Molecule: ribosomal RNA, 489 nt
Filed under: Sphingomonas panaciterrae
Lineage: Bacteria; Pseudomonadati; Pseudomonadota; Alphaproteobacteria; Sphingomonadales; Sphingomonadaceae
Description: bacterial SSU rRNA
Rfam family: Bacterial small subunit ribosomal RNA
Source: RNAcentral